This is a small nucleolar RNA of Mesoplodon densirostris (Blainville's beaked whale), 131 nucleotides long. RefSeq annotates it as small nucleolar RNA SNORA40. The record is from RefSeq and is a predicted model, not a curated record. NCBI's taxonomy places the organism in Eukaryota, Metazoa, Chordata, Mammalia, Artiodactyla, Ziphiidae. The transcript has a single exon.
AGUAUUUCUCUAUUUACCAAGAGAAAUAAAAAUACACAGCCUACUUCUAGAGAGGUGCAAAAAUAAAUCCUCUUUUGUAACCCAGAACUCAUUGUUCAGUAUGAGUUUUGAUACAGAUAAGAAGGAACAUG